Molecule: long non-coding RNA, 179 nt
Organism: Prunus dulcis (almond)
Lineage: Eukaryota; Viridiplantae; Streptophyta; Magnoliopsida; Rosales; Rosaceae
Exons: 2
Source: RefSeq, a predicted model, not a curated record
CACACUUCUCACAUUUCACAAAAAAGAACGAAAGUGGAGACACUACAAUCCACUUAGAUCGUUGGGACAUAGAAAAGAAGAAAGGUGCAUUGACAUUGCUCGAAACUUUGUUAAUAUUGUUGAAGGGUGGCUAGAAUAUAUAAGACCUCAAGCACGAGUGUUCAUAGAAACUAAAAAAA